GGGUUUAGACCCGUAGCAAAUAGCUCCGUAACACGUGGUCAAACUACCCUCUGGACCGGAAUACCCUCGGGAAACUGAGGCUAAUUCCGGAUACUGCUUUCAUGUUGGAACACAGAAAGUCGGAAACGGUCCGCCGCCGGAGGACGUGACUGCGGCCGAUUAGGUAGACGGUGGGGUAACGGCCCACCGUGCCGAUAAUCGGUACGGGUUGUGAGAGCAAGAACCCGGAGACGGUAUCUGAGACAAGAUACCGGGCCCUACGGGGCGCAGCAGGCGCGAAACCUUUACACUGCACGCCAGUGCGAUAAGGGGACCCCGAGUGCGAGGGCAUACAGUCCUCGCUUUUCGUGACCGUAAGAAGGUCUCAGAAUAAGAGCUGGGCAAGACCGGUGCCAGCCGCCGCGGUAAUACCGGCAGCUCGAGUGAUAGCCACUAUUAUUGGGCCUAAAGCGUCCGUAGCCGGCCGAACAGGUCCGUCGGGAAAUCCACCUGCUCAACAGGUGGACGUCCGGCGGAAACCAGUCGGCUUGGGGCCGGGAGACCAGAGAGGUACGUCCGGGGUAGGAGUGAAAUCCCGUAAUCCUGGACGGACCGCCGGUAGCGAAAGCGUCUCUGGAGAACGGACCCGACGGUGAGGGACGAAAGCUUGGGUCUCGAACCGGAUUAGAUACCCGGGUAGUCCAAGCUGUAAACGAUGCUCGCUAGGUGUGGCGUUGGCUACGAGCCAGCGCUGUGCCGUAGGGAAGCCGAGAAGCGAGCCGCCUGGGAAGUACGUCCGCAAGGAUGAAACUUA
RNAcentral lists this ribosomal RNA (793 nucleotides) under Halorubrum trapanicum. RNAcentral describes it as "bacterial SSU rRNA". It matches the Rfam family "Archaeal small subunit ribosomal RNA", at positions 64 to 858 of the family's 1478-position model. The record is from RNAcentral. Lineage: Archaea; Methanobacteriati; Methanobacteriota; Halobacteria; Halobacteriales; Haloferacaceae.